CGGGGGGGGGGGCAAGCGUUGUUCGGAAUUACUGGGCGUAAAGGGCGUGUAGGCGGUCCCGCAAGUCUUUCGUGAAAUCCCACAGCUCAACUGUGGAACUGCGAGGGAAACUGCAGGACUUGAGUCCGGGAGAGGAGAGUGGAAUUCCCAGUGUAGCGGUGAAAUGCGUAGAUAUUGGGAGGAACACCGGUGGCGAAGGCGGCUCUCUGGACCGGUACUGACGCUGAGGCGCGAAAGCUAGGGGAGCAAACGGGAUUAGAUACCCCGGUAGUCCUAGCCUUAAACGAUGAGCACUUGGUGUGGCGGGUAUCGACCCCUGCCGUGCCGAAGCUAACGCAUUAAGUGCUCCGCCUGGGGAGUACGGUCGCAAAGGCUG
RNAcentral lists this ribosomal RNA (376 nucleotides) under uncultured organism. RNAcentral's name for it is "partial 16S ribosomal RNA". It matches the Rfam family "Bacterial small subunit ribosomal RNA", at positions 523 to 896 of the family's 1533-position model. The record is from RNAcentral.